RNAcentral lists this long non-coding RNA (569 nucleotides) under Junco hyemalis (dark-eyed junco). Its description in RNAcentral is "lncRNA (ENSJHYG00000015098.1)". The record is from RNAcentral. Lineage: Eukaryota; Metazoa; Chordata; Aves; Passeriformes; Passerellidae.
CACAACCCCCACACACACUGCAGGGCUGCAUUUGCUGCUCCCCAGGGCAGCCUGGAGCCAGCAGCUUCAAAGGAGCACAUCAAAGCUCCGUGCACAGCACAGAGCAGCCCGGGAAGCAGGGUGGCAUCUCUCCUCUCCCUGGCGAAUGUGGAACCUCAGGGGGCUUCCCAAAGGACACGUAUGUCCCUAUGUCUUGCCUUGAACUUUUCCUGUCUUAUGAGACAGACUGCAGCUGCGCACCCAAAGGCUGUGACAAGGAAUUUCGACACAAGAUUUGUCUCCAGUAAAGAUGUUCAGAACAGGAGGGCUCCUCCAGGAAUUCACUCUACCAACCUCAAGAAAACCUCAAAGUAACACUCAGAGUCAGGGGAGGCAGAACAGAAAGGAUCUUCCUCAAGGUCCAAUCCAUCCCCACUAGCAUGGCCACAGUGAAGACAGGGGAAAUAACCUAGAACUCUGAACAUCAUUUCUUUUCUUGCUUUUCAGCUGUUCCACUUGCCUUUCACUUGUUAUGCAGUCAAUUUCCUGGACACCAAGUCACCUUUUAAACUGAUAAAAACAGAGCCCAC